AUUCGACCUUCUCUUAACUCCGCAGAAUGCAGUUGAGAUGCAUAGAAAAAGUCUGGGACUACUUACACCUAUUUGCUAGCAUGUCUUUGAAGAAUGUUACUAGAGAGAAGCAGGUACAACCUUGUGAUUAUUAUGCUUUGAACUUGAUGCUGUGCUGAACACAUAAAAAGAGCCCUCAUGAUGAGAGAUUGGAAGGAGAAUGAAAGAAAGGAAGCAAGAUCAUCCAGAGAACCAUGAAGUAGUGACCUUCAGUGACCUUCAGUGAUGAGGUCUGGCAUUCAUCAGCAUUCACACAUCUGCAGAAGGGGUAUGAGGGAGAAAUGACUUCAUUAAUUAUUGUGUCACCAAGUUUUUCUUCUCUUGAUUCCUAAGAAGAAGAAACAGAGAUUACAUGUGUUUACUUAAGGGUAAGCACUAACUGAAUGCUUACUGAGUGGCUAGAUGAAUAUCUAAAAAAAAAAAUGGUUUCUGUAGGCGUUGGAUUCUGCUCAAUGCUUAUGCCCACCCAGAAUGCUCUAUAAAACCUUCACUGUUGUUCUCAGGAUCAGCCUUCCUGAAUUCAUCCUAUAAACUUUUAAUGAGUGACCUGUUUGUAAAACUCCCUUCCAGAUUGGCAAAUACAAGUU
This 626-nucleotide long non-coding RNA is filed under the name Homo sapiens (human). RNAcentral describes it as "non-protein coding LINC01068:4". The record is from RNAcentral. Lineage: Eukaryota; Metazoa; Chordata; Mammalia; Primates; Hominidae.